GAUGAGCAUGCGUCCCAUUAGCUAGUUGGUAAGGUAGCGGCUUACCAAGGCUACGAUGGGUAGGGGUCCUGAGAGGGAGAUCCCCCACACUGGUACUGAGACACGGACCAGACUCCUACGGGAGGCAGCAGUGAGGAAUAUUGGUCAAUGGGCGCAAGCCUGAACCAGCCAUGCCGCGUGCAGGAUGAAGCAUCUAUGGUGUGUAAACUGCUUUUGUACGAGAAGAAACACUCCUACGUGUAGGAGCUUGACGGUAUCGUAAGAAUAAGGACCGGCCAACUCCGUGCCAGCAGCCGCGGUAAUACGGAGGGUCCAAGCGUUAUCCGGAAUCAUUGGGUUUAAAGGGUCCGUAGGCGGUUUUGUAAGUCAGUGGUGAAAGCCCAUCGCUCAACGGUGGAACGGCCAUUGAUACUGCAAGACUUGAAUUAUUAGGAAGUAACUAGAAUAUGUAGUGUAGCGGUGAAAUGCUUAGAUAUUACAUGGAAUACCAAUUGCGAAGGCAGGUUACUACUAAUUGAUUGACGCUGAUG
Molecule: ribosomal RNA, 530 nt
Filed under: uncultured Bacteroidota bacterium
Lineage: Bacteria; Pseudomonadati; Bacteroidota
Description: bacterial SSU rRNA
Rfam family: Bacterial small subunit ribosomal RNA
Source: RNAcentral